GAUGAUUAUUAUUCAUUUACAAUGAAAAAAACCUUUAGGGCAUUUUUAUAGUGUAGAUAAAAGAUUAAA
RNAcentral lists this transfer RNA (69 nucleotides) under Gammarus incoercitus. RNAcentral's name for it is "tRNA-Val". Lineage: Eukaryota; Metazoa; Arthropoda; Malacostraca; Amphipoda; Gammaridae. The record is from RNAcentral.